Molecule: non-coding RNA, 2561 nt
Organism: Xyrichtys novacula (pearly razorfish)
Lineage: Eukaryota; Metazoa; Chordata; Actinopteri; Labriformes; Labridae
Source: the annotation of a GenBank genome assembly
AAAUAUAUAUUUUUUAAUCUAUUUGCAUUUUAAAAAAUAUAUUUUAUAUAUUUUCCGUUUUGUUUUUUUUGUUUUUUGUCUUUCCUGAAAAAUUUGAAGAUCUCCUAAAUCAAAUUUUGUAAGCAUAAGAAAAAAUGUCAUGCUUUGUAAAAUGUCUUUGACCUUUAUAAAACAUUUGUUUAUUGCUUUUCUGAAGUAAAUCGUGACCUCCAGGACCACCGUAGCUCUGGUAUCUCACUAAUCAGAAAAACAAACUGGAAAAUAUCAAGUAGUCUACUGCUUUACGCCGAGAUUCAUCGGUCAUUUACUGUGUUUUAAAAAGUCUCACAGUAUGAACUGAAGAAGUUCUGCUUUAGUUUAAUCUGAAAACUGUCCUCCUCACUGUUUUUUUCUUCCUCUGAGUCAGCAGGCAUCAAACGGACUGCACGGUGUGUUGUUCCACCAUGCUGCUCAAUUCAAUUAGAGCCUUUCAUGACAAUCAAUUAGGGAGUACCCCCUGGAUCUCCCCGGGGGCCUAUAAUCAUCACACACCGUCUGCUCUCUCAGACGGGCACCGGGGAGCCCCGCCCACCAGGAACAAGGACGCCUGACUGAGAACCAGAGGAGACAGUUUGUGGCUCAUUUGAAGGCGUUCAACUCCAGAUUAGGUUUAUUUCUCCUCUGUCUGUGUGUUAAAUGAAGAUUUUACUCAUUUAAUUCCUGCUUUUUAACAUUCAAAAAGCUUUUUUUAUGGAAGUUUGUGCCGCCUGUUUCCUCUUGGCUUUUGGUUGAGGAUGAAUCCUCCAGCUGGUAAUCAAAUUCAGAGGUUAAAGUUUGUUUCUGGAGCGUAUCCAAACACCACCAUGCACCCUGACUGCUGUGAUUAUCAAUGUUGUUUUUUUUACUGCGGAAGUUGUUUCUGCUGCUUUUGAUAAAGUCUGAAACACACUCACUUUAAUUUGACGCUCCAGAAAGAAUAACCAAAACUGCAGACCAUAGUGAAGCACAAUAUAAGGCCAGAGCUGAUGUAAAUGUGAGCAAACUGAAUCAAACAACCCAACAGAAUUAAAACCACCUGCAAAAGAAAUCAGACAAGACUCUAAGCUGUGGAUGCCAACACUGAGAAAGUGAAAAAUACUAAAGCAGGACCUGACGACAUUUGCUGAUAAACAUUUUGGUAUUUUUCAAACUCUUCUGGAACUAUUAAGCUGCAGUUACAUCAUUUUCUCACUAAGAUAAAGUUGUUUCACUAUGGUUUUCUUAUGAUAAUUAAGUUGUUGUAUAUUAUAAUUUACAUUACAAUAAGUACAAUAAGUUAUUAUAUUCAAUAUGUUUCUUUCAUCCUCUGUCUGACAGCUAGGAGACACCUGUGUGCUUUGUAUCAAACCACCGGAGUCCCUCAGGGGUCAAUAUUAGGCCCCCUUUUAUUUAGUCUUUAUAUGAAUGAUCUGCCCACUGUUUGUCCUGAAGCUGAAUGCUUAAUGGAUGCAGACGACACGGUUCUUUGUUCAUGGUCACACCAAAGACACUGUUGCAGCUAAACUUAUUAAAACAACGUCCUGCAUUACAACUUGGCUGCAGGAGAACUGUCUGCAGCGAAACGUUUCUAAAACUGUGGGCAUGUAUUUCACAAAAACAAAUAGAGUAUCAUCUGAUCCCGACAUACAUGUUAAUGGAGAAAGAACUCAAAUUGUCAGCCAAUAUAAAUAUCUUGGGAUAAUAACAGAUUCAGAGGUUUCCUUCAAAGCCCAUAUUGGUAAACUGUGCAAAAUAAUCAAGUUUAACCUUGUAAAUUUUUGUGCAAUUUCGCAAUAAAAUGUCAACUGAAGACGCAAAAAUGUAUUUGCAUUCAAUGAUAUUAAGCCACCUCAACUAUUGCCGAACCAGCUGGUCCCAGAGCUCAAAAAAACCAUUGGAAAUCUUGUACAAACAAGCAAUUAAAGUUCUGGAUAAAAAACCUAGGCACUAUCAUCACUGUGCAAUUUUUUUUAAGUUGGGACAGUCUUCACACAUUCGCAGACUUAAAACUGACCUAUAAAGUACUGAAUAAACUGGCUCCAGAUCCUCCAGCAGAGUUCAUCAGCCUUGAGCGUGUCACUCGAGGCUCUGCCAGAGGUGACUGUUACAUUCCUCUGCGCAGGAGCACUUUCAGGAAGUCAGCCUGGUCAGUAAGGAGUGCACGUGCGUGGAACUCAGUACCUGAGGAGGUUAAACUGCUUCCAACGUACAAGGCAUUCACAAAAAGAUUGGAAAUGUGGCUCAUCAACACCUACAGCUGCCAACACUAAAAGAUACGCCUGUUGUGAUGUUUUGAUAUUAUGAUAAAUUGUUGUGUUGUGAUGUAUUUUUUCUUAAUUGUAUAGUGAGUGUUUGAAUAUGUAUUUUGUUUUAUAGUGUACAUGUAUUGUGUUGUUUUUUUAAAUUGUAAUUUUCCUGCCUUUUCACAUCAUUGCCGGGGGACUACAGAUGAAAACUAGCCUUAUGGCUAAUUCUGGCUUUUUAAAUCAUGUGUAAUCAUGUGUUUUAUGAAAGUGCUCUGUCCCCUUUUAAAUAAACUACUCUAAUCUAAUCUAAUAAACCAC